UACGGAGGAUCCAAGCGUUAUCCGGAAUCAUUGGGCGUAAGGGUCCGUAGGCGGGAUGAUAAGUCAGUGGUAGAGUCUGCAGCUCAACUGUAGAACUGCCAUUGAUACUGUUGUCCUUGAGUCAUUAUGAAGUGGUUAGAAUAUGUAGUGUAGCGGUGAAAUGCAUAGAUAUUACAUAGAAUACCGAUUGCGAAGGCAGAUCACUAAUAAUGUACUGACGCUGAUGGACGAAAGCGUAGGUAGCGAACAGG
This 251-nucleotide unclassified non-coding RNA is filed under the name uncultured Flavobacteriaceae bacterium. RNAcentral describes it as "contains 16S-23S intergenic spacer region". It matches the Rfam family "Bacterial small subunit ribosomal RNA", at positions 524 to 776 of the family's 1533-position model. The record is from RNAcentral. Lineage: Bacteria; Pseudomonadati; Bacteroidota; Flavobacteriia; Flavobacteriales; Flavobacteriaceae.